AGUGAACGCUGGCGGUAGGCCUAACACAUGCAAGUCGAGCGGCAGCACAGUAAGAGCUUGCUCUUACGGGUGGCGAGUGGCGGACGGGUGAGGAAUACAUCGGAAUCUACUUUUUCGUGGGGGAUAACGUAGGGAAACUUACGCUAAUACCGCAUACGACCUACGGGUGAAAGCAGGGGAUCUUCGGACCUUGCGCGAUUGAAUGAGCCGAUGUCGGAUUAGCUAGUUGGCGGGGUAGAGGCCCACCAAGGCGACGAUCCGUAGCUGGUCUGAGAGGAUGAUCAGCCACACUGGAACUGAGACACGGUCCAGACUCCUACGGGAGGCAGCAGUGGGGAAUAUUGGACAAUGGGCGCAAGCCUGAUCCAGCCAUACCGCGUGGGUGAAGAAGGCCUUCGGGUUGUAAAGCCCUUUUGUUGGGAAAGAAAAGCAGCAGGUUAAUACCCCGCUGUUCUGACGGUACCCAAAGAAUAAGCACCGGCUAACUUCGUG
This 492-nucleotide ribosomal RNA is filed under the name uncultured bacterium. Its description in RNAcentral is "partial 16S ribosomal RNA". It matches the Rfam family "Bacterial small subunit ribosomal RNA", at positions 29 to 507 of the family's 1533-position model. The record is from RNAcentral.